This 301-nucleotide ribosomal RNA is filed under the name uncultured bacterium. Its description in RNAcentral is "partial 16S ribosomal RNA". It matches the Rfam family "Bacterial small subunit ribosomal RNA", at positions 509 to 807 of the family's 1533-position model. The record is from RNAcentral.
CAGUAGCCGCGGUAAUACGAAGGGGGCUAGCGUUGUUCGGAUUUACUGGGCGUAAAGCGCACGUAGGCGGAUCGAUCAGUCAGGGGUGAAAUCCCAGAGCUCAACUCUGGAACUGCCUUUGAUACUGUCGAUCUGGAGUAUGGAAGAGGUGAGUGGAAUUCCGAGUGUAGAGGUGAAAUUCGUAGAUAUUCGGAGGAACACCAGUGGCGAAGGCGGCUCACUGGUCCAUUACUGACGCUGAGGUGCGAAAGCGUGGGGAGCAAACAGGAUUAGAUACCCCGGUAGUCCCUGUCUCUUAUAC